RNAcentral lists this long non-coding RNA (2131 nucleotides) under Olea europaea (common olive). Its description in RNAcentral is "long non-coding RNA (OEUR_LNC009762)". Lineage: Eukaryota; Viridiplantae; Streptophyta; Magnoliopsida; Lamiales; Oleaceae. The record is from RNAcentral.
GGGGGGGGGGGGGGGGAAGGUGGUCCAUUUACCUUCUCCCACUUUGUUACAAAAGGUUAAUAUAUAAUAGGACAAUCAUUCAUUCAGAAAUUAGGCCAAUGCCCUGAGUACAGGGCAAUUAUCAUACAAGGAUCUUACAAACCCUUCACUAUAGAUGACAGAUCGGUAGGAUCGACCUGCAUAAAAAAAUAAAUAAAAUAAAAUAAAAUAAAUAAAUUUGUGUGCCCCGCCCCUUGUGUGUGUUCUAGCUUUGCCAGGUCUGUGCCUAUACGUGAAUCACGGCUCAAGAAAUUAUAGGACACUACAUUUUUGUAGCACGUGUUAUAAUAUAGCCAUUACAUUGACCUAGACCUAGUUUCUUACAAAAUGAUGUAUGACACUUGUUCACAAAUUAUGGAAUGUUCAACUUAUGACAAAACGUUAUGAUUAGUAAAUUAUAUGAUAAUCAUUCCAUUGACCUAGACAUAGAGCUAUGGGUGGAAAUGGAUCAGGAUGUUCGUCGGUUUGACUUAUCUAGACUCAAUUCACGGUGACUUGGGCUCGUGGAUUGAUUCGUUUUUUCUCAUCUUUGGACUUAUUUUAUUAAUUCUUUUAAAAAUUGUUUGUUUUGGACUUAUUUUGAUAAUUUAUUCUUUUUUCCUUGACAGAAAGGGUGAACUCAUUGGUAGUUGGCUCAACCCAUGGACCCACAAAUCAAAGGGCAGGAUUGAUCCUAGGAUUUGAAUAUGAGUCGAGCGAGCUCCGGUCUCUAUGGGCCAAGUUAGCUCGGCUCAAGCCCAUUACUAUACCUACUUCAGACAUGUUUGGUAUGGCUUCUUUUUAUGCUUUAACUUUUUGUAAAAGAGUUUUACGAGAAUUUUUCUUUGUAACUGUAUUCUAUAAAAGUUAUUUUAAUUAGAUAAAGUACUUUCAGAAAAUUAUAUAAAAAUGUUUAAAAUCAACUUACUUUUUUAUAAGUAACUUUUGACAUUUUAAAAACUUCACCAAACGAGCCCUUAGUUUGUAACCAAAUGUUGGAAUAGCAUAUGUACUAUUACAAGCCAAUCACUUUUCAAAAUAUGGAAUGUUCAAUUUAUGACAAAACAUUAUAAUAAUCCAUUUUAUAUGACAAUCAUUCCAUUAACCUAAACCUAGUUCGUACAAAAUUUUGGAAAUACCAUAUUUAUUAUAUGAAAAUCAUUCAAAAUUAUGGACUGUCCAAUUUCUGACAAAACGUUGUAAUACCAUUUACUAUAACUUAUUACUUUUAAUUGCUACAUAGAUUCUUUCAAUAAAAUUCAAUUUUUUUAUUAAAAAAAUAUCAUUUUAAUAAUAGAAGUUCAGAAUUUUCCUCGUUCGUAAAUGGCUUAGUCCAAGUUUGACACUGGAAAAGCCAUGUUUGAGAAAUAAAAUCUUAAAAAUUGUAGAGAUUCUUUUGUCACAAGUUGUGAUCUAGUGAUGUUGCUCUCUGUCACACAACACCUACGCAUUUUUCAUAUAUUUUUUGAUAAGACAAAAAAUUAAAAUACGUAUAUCACGUUUCAUUUUAAUAGACGGGACGAGCAAAGUCUUGGGAUGGUCGACAUGUUUUUACGCGUCUGAUAGUAGUCUCGUGCCUAAAUUAUAAAUGUGACUAUAUUCAUAAAAUUGAUGUGAUUUCAAUAGAACAUAUUAGAAAAUUUAAGAAGUUCGAAUAAUAAUACCUCUAUCAAGAAUUUAAUCUCUAGUGAACUCACGAAGACUUUCACUUAUCUUCAAACAGACCCAUUGAUGUAGACGAUAAACGGGAAUUAUACAAUAUACAUAAUUUAGGAGAUUUUUUGAUGGAAUGAACGAAUUUCUUUGAUUCAAUUUUUAAGUUUUAAAGCAUCAUUUAUAAAAGAGAAAAAAAAGGGAGGGGGGGGGGGGGGGGGGGGGAAAAAAAGGUUUCUGUGCAGUGCAAUCAUGAGAACAAGAACAAGGAGGAGGAAAUUACACAGAAAGACAGACGAAAGUAUUAAGUCAACGGGUCAAGCCAUCUUACCACCUAAGCAUUUAAGUCCACAAAAUUCGAAGUGAUGCCAGAGAACAAUUUGAACUUUAUCACAUACUGGACUUUUUUGAGUUUGUAGUUUGCACGAACAUUGCACCUAGAUACGAUUGUAAGAGUUAG